RNAcentral lists this ribosomal RNA (253 nucleotides) under uncultured bacterium. RNAcentral's name for it is "partial 16S ribosomal RNA". It matches the Rfam family "Bacterial small subunit ribosomal RNA", at positions 524 to 776 of the family's 1533-position model. The record is from RNAcentral.
UACGUAGGGUGCAAGCGUUAAUCGGAAUUACUGGGCGUAAAGCGUGCGCAGGCGGUUUUGUAAGUCUGUCGUGAAAUCCCCGGGCUCAACCUGGGAAUGGCGAUGGAGACUGCAAGGCUAGAAUCUGGCAGAGGGGGGUAGAAUUCCACGUGUAGCAGUGAAAUGCGUAGAGAUGUGGAGGAACACCGAUGGCGAAGGCAGCCCCCUGGGUCAAGAUUGACGCUCACGCACGAAAGCGUGGGGAGCAAACAGG